RNAcentral lists this ribosomal RNA (459 nucleotides) under uncultured bacterium. RNAcentral describes it as "partial 16S ribosomal RNA". It matches the Rfam family "Bacterial small subunit ribosomal RNA", at positions 338 to 795 of the family's 1533-position model. The record is from RNAcentral.
CCUACGGGUGGCAGCAGUGAGGAAUAUUGGUCAAUGGGCUUACGCCUGAACCAGCCAAGUCGCGUGAGGGAAGACUGCCCUAUGUGUUGUAAACCUCUUUUGUCAGGGAGCAAUUGGCGCUACGUGUAGCGUUAUCGAGAGUACCUGAAGAAAAAGCAUCGGCCAACUCCGUGCAAGCAGCCGCGGUAAUACGGGGGAUGCGAGCGUUAUCCGGUUUUAUUGGUUUAAGGGGUGCGUAGGCGGAAUGCCAAGUCAGCGGUAAAAGCGCGGGGCUCAACCUCGCUCCGCCGUUGAAACUGGCGGUCUUGAGUGGGCGAGAAGUAUGCGGAAUGCGUGGUGUAGCGGUGAAAUGCAUAGAUAUCACGCAGAACUCCGAUUGCGAAGGCAGCAUACCGGCGCCCAACUGACGCUGAAGCACGAAAGCGUGGGUAUCGAACAUGAUUAGAUACCCUAGUAGUC